RNAcentral lists this ribosomal RNA (400 nucleotides) under uncultured bacterium. RNAcentral's name for it is "bacterial SSU rRNA". It matches the Rfam family "Bacterial small subunit ribosomal RNA", at positions 356 to 773 of the family's 1533-position model. The record is from RNAcentral.
GGGGAAUAUUGGACAAUGGGCGCAAGCCUGAUCCAGCAAUGCCGCGUGGGUGAAGAAGGUUUUCGGAUUGUAAAGCCCUUUCGGCGGGGACGAUGAUGACGGUACCCGCAGAAGAAGCUCCGGCUAACUUCGUGCCAGCAGCCGCGGGGGUACGGAGGGGGCUAGCGUUGCUCGGAAUGACUGGGCGUAAAGGGCGCGUAGGCGGGUCGUACAGUCGGGUGUGAAAUUUCUGGGCUUAACCUGGGGACUGCAUUCGAGACGUGCGGGCUUGAGUGGGGAAGAGGGUCGUGGAAUUCCCAGUGUAGAGGUGAAAUUCGUAGAUAUUGGGAAGAACACCGGUGGCGAAGGCGGCGACCUGGUCCUUGACUGACGCUGAGGCGCGAAAGCGUGGGGAGCAAAC